This is a long non-coding RNA of Scatophagus argus, 3261 nucleotides long. RefSeq lists it as uncharacterized. The transcript is spliced from 2 exons. The record is from RefSeq and is a predicted model, not a curated record. Lineage: Eukaryota; Metazoa; Chordata; Actinopteri; Scatophagidae.
AACGUCCUGCAAACAUGAAAGUCUCUGGAAUUCUUCUGACAGGAGUUUGUGAAAUCUAAUUUGAUUCAAUAAAAUGCAGUUGUUUUGUAGUCCAUUUUUCCACCAUAAACACUGAGCCAUUUAAUUGUAAUCAUACUGACUAUUUGAUGAUUAAAUGACUGUAUCCUGAACAGUCCAACAGGUUUCGUUACAGAUAAUACUGUCAGACACAGAGAAACAAUCUCAACUUUGACGGUCAGAGGAUUAAGUUUCAGCCCUUGCAGUUGUGUGGCAGCGGCCAGAUGAAUUCAUCCACUGGACCAACUCCAAAACCUUUGAUCAGGCUUGUGGAUCAGUGGCGUGUCCUGACCCCGGCAGCAGGACUCUGGCUGUCUCUGACCCACAGGAAGUGGACCUCAGCCUGGUCUCCGUUGGUGACGGAGCCUCGAAGGACCAGAGAGUUGUUGGGCAGAGUGAGAGUGUGGCUGCCGCUCGCAUGAGCAACGGGAAGAAGACUUCUGGCUGCAGGAGGAAGGAUGACAGGAGUUUACAGCUGAAGUGCAUUUAAGGCUCUUAAGGGGUGUAUUUCUUAUUUUAUGGAUGAAUUUAUUUGUGUAUGUACAGUAAAGAAACCAUCCCAGUUUCUCUGUGGAAGACAUCAGCACAUGAAAUGAAACACUCACCUUCCUGGACUCUGACAGUCAGCGAGGUGCUGUCCAUCACGCCCUCCUGGUCAGAGACGCUCAGUCUGAAGGUGUAUCGUCCCGCCUGAAGGCCCGUCACCGUGGCUACUGCCUGGUCUUCACCCUCCAGCUUCAGUCCUGGGGGGCCGCUGGAAAACCACCAGGUGAGUCUGUAUUCUGAUGUUCGUCUUGAAAUAUUAAAACAUUUAUGCUAACAUUUCAGAAGCGCACCAAAGCGUUCGCAUCCUACCUGACGGCGUCCCAGUGGUAGCUGACGAUGCCGCGGUCAUCGCUGCUUCUGCUGCCGUCCAGCACCAAGCUGCUCACCGGGAGAGACAGUUUCCUGUCAGGACCCACAAUGGCUACCGGGCCACGGUUUGACCCCCCGAGCUGUGAUGCUGAACGAGAGGGAAGAAAAGGACAGCAAGAGUAAUCACAGUCGCACAGUCAGAGGUCUCUCACUGAUACACAUUAAUAUUCAGGGAGAAGCCGAGAUCAUUUUUCUCAUUAUGUCAAUUUGCUUUGUCAUAGAAUGAGCUGAUUUAUCUUUUAAUCUCGAGAUAAUUAGAAGAAAACAGCUCACACACACACACGCAGGCAGGUUUCUUAAAAUUUCACACUUUUUUUUUUUUACCACUGACUGGAGUUUUUUAUUUAGAAGCUACUGUGGAGGUCAGGAGUUAAAAACAACCGCUGUGCAGGGAGUCCUGAAAGUGCAGACAGGACGCACAGGGACAGGGACAGGGACAGGGACAGGGACAGGAUCUCAGCGUCUCUCCUGAUGUUUCUCCUGUUGUGUUUACUUAUCUACCAGACUCUGCAGCAGUGGAGGACAGGGUGGUUGCUGGCGGGCUGGUGCUGUAGGUUAAGGCUGUGCUGGUGGGGUCAGAGGUCACGGCUGCGGCUGAGGGUCGGGUGGUGGUUGGUGGAGCUCCGUUUGCUGACUGGAACACCUUCAACGUGUCUGUGAAGCAUCCCGAAUGAUGCAGAUGUUACCAUGAUAUGCUACAGAAACUAUUAGAAUGAUUAAAUAUUUAUUAGAUCUUAACUUUUACCAUUUUAUGUUUAUGUUUAUGAAAAAAAAAUAGUUUAUUACCAGUUGUGGAUUCGGGGAAAACUGAAGCAUCUAAAUUAACUGAGGGUGUUGUCAACUCUGGACGGUUUCCCGGGGACACCAUCAGGGGUGGAUCUGCAGGCGGGCAAAGACGGCCGUCAUGUCAUGUGUUUUACAUUCCGUUCUGUUUUUAUCAGUAAACACGACCACUAGUGGGCGACACACUGUGGAUCUGAUUCAGAAGAACACAGCUGUGAAUAUGGUUGAUAAACCUGACGUCAAAUUUCAGGUUUACCUGGCUGUGCAGAUGUCCUGAUGGGCCAGUGGGACGUGGCAGGGACAGGAAGUGACGUUGUUGCCUGGUCCUGCUGGGUGGAGUCAGUGGUUGGCGUCUGUAGCGUUAACACCGACUCAGUGCUGCCUUUUGUUCUGCUCUGUAAAUCAGAAUAAAACCACAUUUCUGCCUGUCACAUUAGAGGCAUCAGCAGGAGUAUUCUGAACUGUGGACAGAGUCAUGCUAGCAGCGUCCCCCUGCUUCCUGUGUUUAUGCUAGCUAGGCUAGCUACAACCUGACUCCAGCUCCGUACUGACAUCCAUCUGAACAUCUCACCCGUGCUGAUGUGGUGAUUUAAAGACUUAGCUUCAGUCGUCCUUUGUUUGAUUCUGUCAUGGCUUCAUUAUCACGGCCUUGCUAAUGUCAUCACUCACUGUUUUCUCUGCAGCAGCAGGAUCAGCUCCGGUUUUGUCCUCCUCUCCCUGACUGAUGUUCCCCCCCGAGGAGGUCCUAUUCUGGGCCAUGCUGCUUCCCAUCAGGCCCCUCUCUGGACCAUCCUCAGCCUCUGAUUGGUUAAACCUGUCUCUUCCUUUGAACGACGGCUGAUCAGUCGUCGUCUCCACCUCCAAGCUGUGAUCUGCCCUUUCCUCCUGGCUUCCCUCUGAAUACUGCACAUCCAGCAUGCUGGGGUUGGAAAAGUCCUUCUGAGGCCCAUCAAACAAGGCGAGAUCCUUUAGGGCCUCCAGGCUCCCGGGGGCGUCAGAGGACCGUGAGAUGGACCUCCAGCGGCUGCCGUACGGCUCUCCUCUCACCAGGGACUGCAGCACCAGCGUCUGCGGCGGCGCUCUCCGCAGGAAGGCGAGGAUGGAGUCGGCCCCUGGUCUCUCUCGGGGCUGGCAGUUCUCCCUCUGCUGGCAGUUGAGUACGUAGCAGCGGCCUUCGAACAGCCAGGCCAGGUCGUAACCCGGCAGGUCGCAGCACGCCGCCACGCACUGCGGCAGAGACGCCACGCCGGGUACCCGCAGGAUGCCACUGCUCUCCACCGCCGGAGAAACCACCGCCUCAGAGAAGGUCGCCCCCUGCCAGCACUGAGACGUCACUACGGCUGAAAAACAACACUACAGUUUAUUUUAUUUUAGUGGCCAUUUUAUUCUGUGUAAGGUGGACUUUUUCCUUCCCUCCAUAGACGGUCUAAGAACUAAGGAUAAUAUAUGUUUUAAAGGUCGUGAAACACCUAAAAAAACCAACCAUAUUAAAGAUAUUUGACAAUA